UUUGAGCCGAGGGGCUUUGCGGAAACACUAGAUCGGCGUCGAUCGGAACCGUGCAAGAAGCCCGCACCACGUGAAGGACUGACUGAAGCGUGAUGAAUACUGAGCUCAUUUGCAAUGAGCAGUCAGGCAGUAGUAAG
Molecule: non-coding RNA, 137 nt
Filed under: unclassified sequences
Description: poplar-1 RNA
Rfam family: poplar-1 RNA
About the family: metagenome only. Environment (Groundwater, Oak Ridge)
Source: Rfam by way of RNAcentral